AACUGUGGUAAUUCUAGAGCUAAUACAUGCACUUAUAUCCAGACCUCACGGAAUGGAUGCAGUUAUUAGAAUAAAACCAAGCAGGCUUGCCUGCCAUUUGGUGAAUCUGAAUAACCCAGUGAUCGCACGGUCUUUGCACCGGCGACGUAUCCUUCAAAUGUCUGCCUUAUCAACCGUCGAUGGUAGUUUAUGCGCCUACCAUGGUUGUUACGGGUAACGGAGAAUUAGGGUUCGACUCCGGAGAGGGAGCCUGAGAAAUGGCUACCACAUCUAAGGAAGGCAGCAGGCACGCAAAUUACCCACUCUUGGUACGAGGAGGUAGUGACGAAGAAUAACAGGACGGCCUCUUAUUGAGGCCCGUCACUGGAAUGAGUACAGUUUAAAUCCUUUAACGAGGAUCUAUUGGAGGGCAAGUCUGGUGCCAGCAGCCGCGGUAAUUCCAGCUCCAAUAGCGUAUAUUAAAGUUGUUGCGUUUAAAAAGCUCGUAGUUGAAUCUGCGUCUUUUGGUUGGCGGUCCCUUAACAGGUGUACUGCUUUACCAGGACCAAUUAUCUGGUUUUCUCUUGAUGCUCUUCAUUGAGUGUCUUGAGUGACUGGAGAGUUUACUUUGAAAAAAUCAGAGUGCUCAAAGCAGGCUUAUAGCCUGAAUGGUGGUGCAUGGAAUAAUGGAAUAAGACUUCGGUUUUAUUUUCAUGUCUUUGGAAUCUUCGGGAAUGGCUCAUUACAACAGCACUUACCCCCUGGAUCCGUGCAAACGGGACUGCUUCCAGCGAGCGGCAUU
This 781-nucleotide ribosomal RNA is filed under the name Anoplostoma sp. HHS-2011. RNAcentral's name for it is "bacterial SSU rRNA". It matches the Rfam family "Eukaryotic small subunit ribosomal RNA", at positions 145 to 953 of the family's 1831-position model. The record is from RNAcentral. Lineage: Eukaryota; Metazoa; Nematoda; Enoplea; Enoplida; Anoplostomatidae.